RNAcentral lists this ribosomal RNA (468 nucleotides) under uncultured bacterium. RNAcentral's name for it is "partial 16S ribosomal RNA". It matches the Rfam family "Bacterial small subunit ribosomal RNA", at positions 31 to 507 of the family's 1533-position model. The record is from RNAcentral.
GAGGAAAGCUGGCGGCGUGCUUAACACAUGCAAGUCGAACGGAAAGGCCCUGCUUUUGUGGGGUGCUCGAGUGGCGAACGGGUGAGUAACACGUGAGUAACCUGCCCUUGACUUUGGGAUAACUUCAGGAAACUGGGGCUAAUACCGGAUAGGAGCUCCUGCUGCAUGGUGGGGGUUGGAAAGUUUCGGCGGUUGGGGAUGGACUCGCGGCUUAUCAGCUUGUUGGUGGGGUAGUGGCUUACCAAGGCUUUGACGGGUAGCCGGCCUGAGAGGGUGACCGGCCACAUUGGGACUGAGAUACGGCCCAGACUCCUACGGGAGGCAGCAGUGGGGAAUAUUGCACAAUGGGCGGAAGCCUGAUGCAGCAACGCCGCGUGCGGGAUGACGGCCUUCGGGUUGUAAACCGCUUUCGCCUGUGACGAAGCGUGAGUGACGGUAAUGGGUAAAGAAGCACCGGCUAACUACGUG